ACGGAAGGCAGCAGUAGGGAAUAUUGCACAAUGGGGGAAACCCUGAUGCAGCAACGCCACGUGUGGGAAGAAGCAUUUCGGUGUGUAAACCGCUGUCGUGAGGGAAUAAUGCUUGGUUUCGGCCAAGUUGUAUGUACCUCGAAAGGAAGCACCGGCAAACUUCGUGCCAGCAGCCGCGGUAAUACGAGGGGUGCAAGCGUUGUUCGGAAUCACUGGGCGUAAAGGGAGCGCAGGCGGAGAUGCAAGCAGUCUGUACAAUACCGGGGCCCAACCCCGGACCUGCAGACUGGACUGUUUCUCUUGGAUAGUUCAGGGGCAAGCGGAAUUCCUGGUGUAGCGGUGGAAUGCGUAGAGAUCAGGAAGAACACCGAUGGCGAAGGCAGCUUGCUGGGGACUUAUCGACGCUCAUGCUCGAAAGUGCGGGUAGCAAACAGGAUUAGAUACCCUGGUA
RNAcentral lists this ribosomal RNA (451 nucleotides) under uncultured Fibrobacter sp. Its description in RNAcentral is "partial 16S ribosomal RNA". It matches the Rfam family "Bacterial small subunit ribosomal RNA", at positions 341 to 792 of the family's 1533-position model. The record is from RNAcentral. Lineage: Bacteria; Pseudomonadati; Fibrobacterota; Fibrobacteria; Fibrobacterales; Fibrobacteraceae.